Molecule: long non-coding RNA, 352 nt
Filed under: Salvia miltiorrhiza (redroot sage)
Lineage: Eukaryota; Viridiplantae; Streptophyta; Magnoliopsida; Lamiales; Lamiaceae
Description: long non-coding RNA (SMIL_LNC000944)
Source: RNAcentral
AUAUAUAUAUAUAUGGUUGCAUUCAAUGGAGACCACUCCCUUAGAUAAAGAAUAAAGACUAAAUCAAUGCCAUUCAUCUUUCUCCAAUCAACGGUUCAUAUAAUUUCCUGAUUUGAUUUUUCAUGUAAUUAAAUAUUGGUUAAUUAUAUUUAUUUAAUCCGAAAAGGGCAAAUAUGUCCACUCAAAUCCUCUGAAAUCUCGGAUCACAUUGAAAAAAUUCCGAAAAUUCUUGUCUUCCCAUUCUGAGACCUGAUCCGUCAAUGGACAUAAUAGGUGAACAUUAGAAUGUUCGUUUAUUUUUCUACGAACAUAUCAACGAACAUUAGUAUGUUUAUUAGUAUUUUCUACGAAC